This 497-nucleotide ribosomal RNA is filed under the name uncultured bacterium. RNAcentral describes it as "partial 16S ribosomal RNA". It matches the Rfam family "Bacterial small subunit ribosomal RNA", at positions 28 to 507 of the family's 1533-position model. The record is from RNAcentral.
GACGAACGCUGGCGGUGUGCCUAAUACAUGCAAGUUGAGCGCUGAAGGUUGGUACUUGUACCGACUGGAUGAGCAGCGAACGGGUGAGUAACGCGUGGGGAAUCUGCCUUUGAGCGGGGGACAACAUUUGGAAACGAAUGCUAAUACCGCAUAAAAACUUUAAACACAAGUUUUAAGUUUGAAAGAUGCAAUUGCAUCACUCAAAGAUGAUCCCGCGUUGUAUUAGCUAGUUGGUGAGGUAAAGGCUCACCAAGGCGAUGAUACAUAGCCGACCUGAGAGGGUGAUCGGCCACAUUGGGACUGAGACACGGCCCAAACUCCUACGGGAGGCAGCAGUAGGGAAUCUUCGGCAAUGGACGAAAGUCUGACCGAGCAACGCCGCGUGAGUGAAGAAGGUUUUCGGAUCGUAAAACUCUGUUGGUAGAGAGGAACGUUGGUGAGAGUGGAAAGCUCAUCAAGUGACGGUAACUACCCAGAAAGGGACGGCUAACUACGUG